GUGCUGGCUUUGGCAGCACAUAGACUAAAAUUGGAACACUACAGGGAAGAUUAGCAUGGCCCCUGCACAAGGAUGACACACAAAUUCUUGAAGUGUUCCAUAUUUUU
Small nuclear RNA from Psammomys obesus (fat sand rat), 107 nucleotides. The record is from RefSeq and is a predicted model, not a curated record. NCBI's taxonomy places the organism in Eukaryota, Metazoa, Chordata, Mammalia, Rodentia, Muridae.